This is a long non-coding RNA of Ailuropoda melanoleuca (giant panda), 764 nucleotides long. RefSeq lists it as uncharacterized. NCBI's taxonomy places the organism in Eukaryota, Metazoa, Chordata, Mammalia, Carnivora, Ursidae. The record is from RefSeq and is a predicted model, not a curated record. The transcript has 3 exons.
CACCCCUCGGCCCGCGGGGCUGCAGCGAGCGGUGCCUCCGCCGGGGGGCGCCGUGGCGCCCCGGAGCCCCAAUCCCGCCUUCCGCGUCCGCCAAAUCCGGCUAGCGGGGGAAUAGCGGCGCUUGCCCAGGAUCCUAAAACUGAAGAAACGGAGAGGCGGUCGCUGCCUGUUGGUUAGUGGACCAGACUUGUGGCUCCCCGAGGCCUGGCUUCCAAGCUCAACGUCACCACGUGGUUUUCUGCGCCCAGGCACUGUCCUCUCAUACGCAUUAUUUCAUGUCAUCCUCUUAAUCCCAUGAGUCAUAUGGCUAUGAGGAGAGAUGUCAAGUGGGGAUGAAGGUCAGACCUGGAGGUGACUCAGAGCCCUAGACGAAAUUCUGAUCUGACUUCCGUUGUUCGUCACCGUUCACUGUGUCCGAGGCCCUCGGAGUCCACUUCCCAAAUGGUUUAACAGCAAUGACCUGGUAAGGCCUCCAGUGUUCAGAAUAAUGCCCUAAAUGGGGAUCUUUCAAAAUCUUUUGCCGGCAGGGCAGGUUCUUCUGUCUUUCUCAGAGUAUUAUAUAUUCUGAAAACAGUAGAAUAUGUAAUUUACAGAUAAUGAAAUCAAGGGGAUAGAUUAGAAGUUGACCAAGGUCACUCAGGUGGGUUGUGAGACAACAGAUGUCCGAACCCAGAAUUCCCAGCCCCUGGAACAAUCCUCCUCACAGGACAAAUCCACAAGCAACAGUAGUUUGCGAAGUGCCUCCCGAGAGCAGACACUGAGAC